CCUACGGGGGGCACCAGUGGGGAAUAUUGCACAAUGAGCGCAAGCCUGAUGCAGCCAUUCCGCGUGUAUGAAGAAGGCCUUAGGGUUGUAAAGUACUCUCAGUUGGGAGGAAGGCGUUGAUGCUAAUAUCAUCAACGAUUGAGGUUACCAACAGAAGAAGCACCGGCUAACUCCGUGCCAGCAGCCGCGGUAAUACGGAGGGUGCAAGCGUUAAUCGGAAUUACUGGGCGUAAAGCGCACGCAGGCGGUUGAUUAAGUUAGAUGUGAAAUCCCCGGGCUUAACCUGGGAAUGGCAUCUAAGACUGGUCAGCUAGAGUCUUGUAGAGGGGGGUAGAAUUCCAUGUGUAGCGGUGAAAUGCGUAGAGAUGUGGAGGAAUACCGGUGGCGAAUGCGGCCCCCUGGACAAAGACUGACGCUCAGGUGCGAAAGCGUGGGGAGCAAACAGGAUUAGAUACCCCUGUAGUC
Molecule: ribosomal RNA, 465 nt
Filed under: uncultured bacterium
Lineage: Bacteria
Description: bacterial SSU rRNA
Rfam family: Bacterial small subunit ribosomal RNA
Source: RNAcentral